RNAcentral lists this transfer RNA (65 nucleotides) under Antricola marginatus. RNAcentral describes it as "tRNA-Val". Lineage: Eukaryota; Metazoa; Arthropoda; Arachnida; Ixodida; Argasidae. The record is from RNAcentral.
UUAAGAUGAAAUCAAGUUGAUGUUUCUUUUACAAUGAAAAAAAGCUUAUUGUUAGCCAUCUUAAG